ACGAACGCUGGCGGCAGGCCUAACACAUGCAAGUCGAGCGCCCCGCAAGGGGAGCGGCGGACGGGUGAGUAACGCGUGGGAAUAUGCCCUUUGCUACGGAAUAGUCUCGGGAAACUGGGGGUAAUACCGUAUACGCCCUUUGGGGGAAAGAUUUAUCGGCGAAGGAUUAGCCCGCGUUGGAUUAGGUAGUUGGUGGGGUAAUGGCCUACCAAGCCGACGAUCCAUAGCUGGUUUGAGAGGAUGAUCAGCCACACUGGGACUGAGACACGGCCCAGACUCCUACGGGAGGCAGCAGUGGGGAAUCUUAGACAAUGGGGGCAACCCUGAUCGAGCCAUGCCGCGUGAGUGAUGAAGGCCUUAGGGUUGUAAAGCUCUUUCAGCUGGGAAGAUAAUGACGGUACCAGCAGAAGAAGCCCCGGCUAACUCCGUG
RNAcentral lists this ribosomal RNA (430 nucleotides) under uncultured bacterium. RNAcentral's name for it is "partial 16S ribosomal RNA". It matches the Rfam family "Bacterial small subunit ribosomal RNA", at positions 29 to 507 of the family's 1533-position model. The record is from RNAcentral.